This 479-nucleotide ribosomal RNA is filed under the name uncultured bacterium. Its description in RNAcentral is "partial 16S ribosomal RNA". It matches the Rfam family "Bacterial small subunit ribosomal RNA", at positions 28 to 523 of the family's 1533-position model. The record is from RNAcentral.
GACGAACGCUGGCGGCGUGCUUUAUACAUGCAAGUCGAACGAUGAAGUUCCUUCGGGAAUGGAUUAGUGGCGAACGGGUGAGGAACACGUGAGAAACCUGCCUUUCAUUCUGGGAUAACACCGGGAAACCGGUGCUAAUACCGGAUACUCCGUCUUGGCGGCAUCGCCGAGCCGGGAAAAAAUUUUGAUGAGAGAUGGUCUCGCGGCCUAUCAGCUAGUUGGUGAGGUAAAGGCUCACCAAGGCGACGACGGGUAGCCGGCCUGAGAGGGCGACCGGCCAAACUGGGGCUGAGACACGGCCCAGACUCCUACGGGAGGCAGCAGUAGGGAAUAUUGGCAAUGGGCGCAAGCCUGACCCAGCGACGCCGCGUGAGGGAUGAAGAUCUUCGGAUUGUAAACCUCUUUCAGUAGGGAAGAAGCGAAAGUGACGGUACCUAAAGAAGAAGCACCGGCUAACUAUGUGCCAGCCGCCGUAGUAA